This 492-nucleotide ribosomal RNA is filed under the name uncultured bacterium. RNAcentral's name for it is "partial 16S ribosomal RNA". It matches the Rfam family "Bacterial small subunit ribosomal RNA", at positions 29 to 507 of the family's 1533-position model. The record is from RNAcentral.
AGCGAACGCUGGCGGUAGGCCUAACACAUGCAAGUCGAACGGCAGCACAGUAAGAGCUUGCUCUUACGGGUGGCGAGUGGCGGACGGGUGAGGUAUACAUCGGAAUCUACUUUUUCGUGGGGGAUAACGUAGGGAAACUUACGCUAAUACCGCAUACGACCUACGGGUGAAAGCAGGGGAUCUUCGGACCUUGCGCGAUUGAAUGCGCCGAUGUCGGAUUAGCUAGUUGGCGGGGUAAAGGCCCACCAAGGCGACGAUCCGUAGCUGGUCUGAGAGGAUGAGCAGCCACACUAGAACUGAGGCACGGACCGGACUCCUGAGGGAGGCAGCAGUGGGGAAUAUGGGACAAUGGGCGCAAGCCUGAUCCAGCCAUACCGCGUGGGUGAAGAAGGCCUUCGGGUUGUAAAGCCCUUUUGUUGGGAAAGAAAAGCAGCAGGUUAAUACCCCGCUGUUCUGACGGUACCCAAAGAAUAAGCACCGGCUAACUUCGUG